Molecule: small nuclear RNA, 195 nt
Filed under: Macrophomina phaseolina MS6
Lineage: Eukaryota; Fungi; Ascomycota; Dothideomycetes; Botryosphaeriales; Botryosphaeriaceae
Description: U2 spliceosomal RNA
Rfam family: U2 spliceosomal RNA
About the family: U2 is a small nuclear RNA (snRNA) component of the spliceosome (involved in pre-mRNA splicing). Complementary binding between U2 snRNA (in an area lying towards the 5' end but 3' to hairpin I) and the branchpoint sequence (BPS) of the intron results the bulging out of an unpaired adenosine, on the BPS, which initiates a nucleophilic attack at the intronic 5' splice site, thus starting the first of two transesterification reactions that mediate splicing.
Source: Rfam by way of RNAcentral
UCAACUCUCUUUUGCCAUUUGGCUCAGAUCAAGAGUAUUCAGUUCUUUCUCAGCUUAAUCGCUGAAAGGCAUCCUACGGGGUGUCACAAAACAAUGACUAAUUUUUGGACUCGGCCUUGGGAGCGCUGGGCUCCGCUUAUCUUCCAGGGCAAGGUGUCGCCUCUACUGCACUGCCGGGGGCUGACGCGAAAGCAA